RNAcentral lists this ribosomal RNA (517 nucleotides) under uncultured Sphingobacterium sp. RNAcentral describes it as "bacterial SSU rRNA". It matches the Rfam family "Bacterial small subunit ribosomal RNA", at positions 9 to 516 of the family's 1533-position model. The record is from RNAcentral. Lineage: Bacteria; Pseudomonadati; Bacteroidota; Sphingobacteriia; Sphingobacteriales; Sphingobacteriaceae.
GAGUUUGAUCGUGGCUCAGGAUGAACGCUAGCGGCAGGCUUAAUACAUGCAAGUCGUGGGGCAGCAGGGUUGUAGCAAUACAAUCGCUGGCGACCGGCAAACGGGUGCGUAACACGUACGCAACCUUCCCGUUACUGUGGAAUAGCCCAGGGAAACUUGGAUUAAUACCACAUAUUAUAUUGAUAAGGCAUCUUAUUAAUAUCAAAGCUUCGGCGGUAACGGAUGGGCGUGCGGUUGAUUAGGUAGUUGGCGGGGUAACGGCCCACCAAGCCUACGAUCAAUAGCUGAUGUGAGAGCAUGAUCAGCCACACGGGCACUGAGACACGGGCCCGACUCCUACGGGAGGCAGCAGUAAGGAAUAUUGGGCAAUGGACGAAAGUCUGACCCAGCCAUGCCGCGUGAAGGAUUAAGGUCCUCUGGAUUGUAAACUUCUUUUCUCUGGGGCGAAAAACAUCUUUUCUAAGGUGCUUUGACAGUACCAGAGGAAUAAGCACCGGCUAACUCCGUGCCAGCAGCC